This 460-nucleotide ribosomal RNA is filed under the name uncultured bacterium. RNAcentral describes it as "partial 16S ribosomal RNA". It matches the Rfam family "Bacterial small subunit ribosomal RNA", at positions 338 to 795 of the family's 1533-position model. The record is from RNAcentral.
CCUACGGUAGACAGCAGUGAGGAAUAUUGGUCAAUGGACGCAAGUCUGAACCAGCCAUGCCGCGUGCAGGAAGACGGCUCUAUGAGUUGUAAACUGCUUUUGUACGAGGGUAAACGCAGAUACGCGUAUCUGUCUGAAAGUAUCGUACGAAUAAGGAUCGGCUAACUCCGUGCCAGCAGCCGCGGUAAUACGGAGGAUUCAAGCGUUAUCCGGAUUUAUUGGGUUUAAAGGGUGCGUAGGCGGUCGGAUAAGUUAGAGGUGAAAUCCCGAGGCUCAACUUCGGAAUUGCCUCUGAUACUGUUCGGCUAGAGAGUAGUUGCGGUAGGCGGAAGGUAUGGUGUAGCGGUGAAAUGCUUAGAGAUCAUACAGAACACCGAUUGCGAAGGCAGCUUACCAAGCUACUUCUGACGUUGAGGCACGAAAGCGUGGGGAGCAAACAGGAUUAGAUACCCCGGUAGUC